This 71-nucleotide transfer RNA is filed under the name Aedes aegypti (yellow fever mosquito). It matches the Rfam family "tRNA". From Rfam's summary of the family: Transfer RNA (tRNA) molecules are approximately 80 nucleotides in length. Lineage: Eukaryota; Metazoa; Arthropoda; Insecta; Diptera; Culicidae. The record is from Rfam by way of RNAcentral.
GACUCGGUAGCUUAGUUGGUAAAGCACUCGUCUAGCAUACAAGAAUCGUGGAUUCGAAUCCAACCCGAGCA